UGUGCUAAACAUUCAUAUGCCCCUUUGUGCUUCAACCACCAUUCCAGAGGACAUAAGUCCAUGCUGAUGACAGGUUCUGCUCAAUAAUAAUCCAAAGCAGAGCGGACCGAUGCAUGUUCAUUUGCAUCAUCUGGGUCAGAUGCCAACAGAAGGUUGAUUUUAUUUUUUGAUGGUUUGGGUUUUGUAGAUUCUGUAUCUGAAUGUUGCUCUUUUAAGACUUCUGAAAGCAUGCUCCACACCUCAUCCCUCUCAGAUUUUGGAUGGCACUUCAGAUUCUUAAACCUUUAGUCGAGUGCUGUAGCUAUUUUUAGAAAUCUCACAUUGGUACCUUCUUUGCAUUUUCUCAAAUCUGCUGUGCAAGUGUUCUUUAAAUGAACAUCAUCUGCUGGGUCAUCA
This is a long non-coding RNA of Chelonia mydas (Green sea turtle), 396 nucleotides long. RefSeq lists it as uncharacterized. The record is from RefSeq and is a predicted model, not a curated record. The transcript is spliced from 3 exons. Lineage: Eukaryota; Metazoa; Chordata; Testudines; Cheloniidae.